This is a non-coding RNA of Pelobates cultripes (western spadefoot toad), 311 nucleotides long. The record is from the annotation of a GenBank genome assembly. Lineage: Eukaryota; Metazoa; Chordata; Amphibia; Anura; Pelobatidae.
AGGUAGUGUGUAUGGGAGCUAGUGAGAGGUGCGAGCUGCACCUAAUCAUGUCUACUGCAUGUGUGUAGCUCCAUGUGUUGGGUAGAUAAUCUUACAAUCGGAGUCUUGUUCUCUGUCAGUCUAGGAUCAGUAACUCCAGGUUUUGUAAAACAUGACACUCUUUGCUAGCUGUGGCAUUUAUGGUUUCACCCUCUUCCACUCAGGUGAGAGUCGUGGCGGUGUCGAGGCCUUCUCUGUCCGCUUGCGGGUGGGUAGUCCCCAUGUUCCGAUGGCUUUCAUCCCUUCCUCAGGGGAGAGUGCGUGUGGGAAUG